Long non-coding RNA from Capsicum annuum, 851 nucleotides. RefSeq lists it as uncharacterized. Lineage: Eukaryota; Viridiplantae; Streptophyta; Magnoliopsida; Solanales; Solanaceae. The record is from RefSeq and is a predicted model, not a curated record. The transcript is spliced from 5 exons.
UAUUUGACCUAUAGUGUGAGGGAGGAGAAUAAAGUUAAUCAAUUUCUUAAAGUUGCAGGGUAUUUUUAAGCCUUUUCCCUAAAAUAUAUUUCUAUUUAUUGAUUUCUUAUGUGACAAGAGUAUAUCAGUUUGCAGCUGUGGUUCUCCUGUCGAAAUUGAACGAAGGGUUUAUAACCAACUAAGAGAUCAAUUCUUUUUCAUGGAUCCCAAAUAUACUGCAGAAACCUUGAAUCAUCUGGAGAAAGAACGUGAAUUACUGUCAAUGCCCAUAAAACUAUGUCUGAUGAAUUACACAGACUUCAGGUUGAGGAAGAAAUGCUGAUGCGCAAGUUCCAUGAACUUAUGUCUGCUCAUGGUCUAGCUAAAAAGGGAACACGCCGUCUGAAGGAACGACGCAACUGUUAAGAUUGUUUUCUGUGACUCGGUGCACUUAUUGGAUAGUACAACUUUGACUUAGCAAUGGUCAGAGCCUGCUACCCUUUUUUUGUUCCACAUGAGAUUGAAGGAAGGAGCACUGGUCAACAUGACAAAUGGUGCUGAUGAAAGACAGAAUGGUUGGGAAGCAGCACUGGUUGACAUGACUGAUGAUGCUGAUGAAAGGCAGAAUGACCUGGAAGGAGCUGUCAGUUAAAUGACAAAAGGUGAUCACUAAUGAAUAAGUGAGAUAGAUAUGGUUCCUAAGCUAUCUAUAAAGAAAUCCGUUGUUAGCCUUUUACACUUAAAAGAGUCCAAUUUUUGGGCUCACAUUGCAGAUGCUUUUAGAUUGUUUCUCACACAGAUCUCUCAGCUCCACAGAAAACAAAGUGCAAUUUAUGCUUUUUAAUAGCAUAGAUGAUACAAGCUGUUUCCCA